RNAcentral lists this ribosomal RNA (466 nucleotides) under uncultured Desulfobulbus sp. RNAcentral's name for it is "bacterial SSU rRNA". It matches the Rfam family "Bacterial small subunit ribosomal RNA", at positions 923 to 1382 of the family's 1533-position model. Lineage: Bacteria; Pseudomonadati; Thermodesulfobacteriota; Desulfobulbia; Desulfobulbales; Desulfobulbaceae. The record is from RNAcentral.
GCACAAGCGGUGGAGUAUGUGGUUUAAUUCGAUGCAACGCGAAGAACCUUACCUGGUCUUGACAUCCCGGAGACCCUUAGGAAACUAGGGGGUGCUUCCAUCUGGAAGAAUCUGGAGACAGGUGCUGCAUGGCUGUCGUCAGCUCGUGUCGUGAGAUGUUGGGUUAAGUCCCGCAACGAGCGCAACCCUUGCCUUUAGUUGCCAGCAGUUCGGCUGGGCACUCUAAAGGGACUGCCGGUGUUAAACCGGAGGAAGGUGGGGAUGACGUCAAGUCCUCAUGGCCUUUAUGACCAGGGCUACACACGUACUACAAUGGCCGAUACAAAGGGCAGCGACACUGCGAGGUGAAGCCAAUCCCGUAAAAUCGGUCUCAGUCCGGAUUGGAGUCUGCAACUCGACUCCAUGAAGUUGGAAUCGCUAGUAAUCGUGGAUCAGCCAAGCCGCGGUGAAUACGUUCCCGGGCCUU